Molecule: ribosomal RNA, 510 nt
Filed under: uncultured bacterium
Lineage: Bacteria
Description: partial 16S ribosomal RNA
Rfam family: Bacterial small subunit ribosomal RNA
Source: RNAcentral
GACGAACGCUGGCGGCGUGCUUAACACAUGCAAGUCGAACGAAGAGCGACGGAAGCUUGCUUCUAUCAAUCUUAGUGGCGAACGGGUGAGUAACGCGUAAUCAACCUGCCCUUCAGAGGGGGACAACAGUUGGAAACGACUGCUAAUACCGCAUACGAUCUAACCUCGGCAUCGAGGAUAGAUGAAAGGUGGCCUCUACAUGUAAGCUAUCACUGAAGGAGGGGAUUGCGUCUGAUUAGCUAGUUGGAGGGGUAACGGCCCACCAAGGCGAUGAUCAGUAGCCGGUCUGAGAGGAUGAACGGCCACAUUGGGACUGAGACACGGCCCAGACUCCUGCGGGAGGCAGCAGUGGGGAAUCUUCCGCAAUGGACGAAAGUCUGACGGAGCAACGCCGCGUGAGUGAUGACGGCCUUCGGGUUGUAAAGCUCUGUUAAUCGGGACGAAAGGCCUUCUUGCGAAUAGUGAGAAGGAUUGACGGUACCGGAAGAGAAAGCCACGGCUAACUACGUG